GUAUAAGCUUGUUUAUACGGCGAGACUGCGGAUGGCUCAUUAAAUCAGUUAUAGUUUAUUUGAUGGUCUCUUUUGUCUUUUUUUACCUACUUGGAUAACCGUGGUAAUUCUAGAGCUAAUACAUGCGCAAGGUCCCGAGCGCGGGGGAUGGGGCUUCACGGCUCUGUCCUCGCAUGCGCAGAGGGAUGUAUUUAUUAGGUUAAAAACCAGCAUCCCCCAAUGGGUACAAUCUCCCGGGGAGAUUUAUAAACUUUUUUUGAGAUCAUUUUUGUGUUCCCUGUGGGGAGAGCGACAAUACUUUCUAAUUUUUGCCCCAUCUCCUUUUUAUGGGGUGAGAUAGGCCUCCCCUGUGCUCAACACGUAAAAGAGAAAAAUGGUUUUAUUCUCGAGAGAGAGACUGAGAAAAGUGUACCACUUUUAAAGAGAGGGGCACGCGCGCAAAUUAUCCCCUCUCCACACGGGGAGGUAUUGAGACUAUAAAUAACUACACGGGCUCUAUAAGAGACUCGUGUAUGGAAUGUGUACACAUUAAAACCCUUACGAGUAACAAAUUGGGAGCACGUCUGUGUCCCAGCAGGCGCUAUACCCCUCUAUAUAGUAUAUAUAGUGUGUAGCUGUAAAUGCUCGUAGUUGGAUCUAGGGACGCGCAUUUCAAGCGCCCGUGCCAUCGGGUCAAACCGGCGGCUGCGUUGGCGUUGCGGGCUCGGUCCGUCGGUGCCCCACAAAGGUUAUCGGCGUGUCAACCGGCCCGCCCGUCCCCUCCUUCUGGAUUCCCGUUCCUGCUAUUGAGUUAGUGGGGACGUCACAGGGGGUCCAUCGUCGGCGCUUUUCAACGCCUCUGGGGGGGAUCUGGGGGGCCCAUAUCUUUUACCGAGAAAAAAUUAGAGUGCUCAAAACGCGCAUACUCUUUUUUCUGCCCCCAAAUAUUUUAAUGUGGUAUAGUGGUAUGAGACCGUGCCCCCCUAUUUUCAUGUGGUUGUGGCCGCGCGAGGACUAGGGAAGUGAUUAAUAGGUAUAUGUGGGGGCUUUAAUAUUUAAUUGUCAGAGGUGAAAUUCUUGGAUUUAUGAAAGAUUAACUUCUGCGAAAGCCUCUGCCGGAGGUGUUUUUUUUAAUCAAGAACAAAAUUUAGGAUAUCGAACAAUAUCAUAUACCCUCAUACUCUUACCCAUAAAAGAUGCCCACCCGCUAAUAAGACAUUUUGUAUACAACACACCACUCUCGGCGCGCUCCCUCGUGGCGUUUGUGUUCUCACACGCGCGCGCGGGAGAGGUAUUUAUAGGGGGGGCACCCCGGAAAAAGUCUCCCCAGCACAGUUUGUGAGAUAUCAUGUGUCUGGGUUCUCCCGGGGAGAGUAGGGUCGCAACUGUGAAUCUUAGGAGAUGUGGGAGAGGCGCACCCCCAAGAGGAGCGCGCGCGGCAAUUUUAGUCUCCACGGGGAGACAUUUCCCAUCUCGACAUAUAGUAAGGAUUGAGAGAUAUAUAUCUCUCUUGUGUCUCUAUGUGUGGGUGCACAUCGCCUCUCAUAGUUUGGAGAGAGAUUUCUCGUUAUAAUUGUGAAAGAGAGAGACCCCAUCCCCUUAUAUAUAUCGCGCUAUACCCUGUCCCUCAAACCCCAUGCGGCGCUCACGCUGUGCGCUGCGGGGUGGUGUCUUUUCGCCGCGAUCUCUCUCCGCCCACAGGCCCCGUCUCCGUGUGGGCUAUAGGUUUGGGUCUCCGUGUUUUUGAGAGGGAGUUGUGCGCGCAUCCCCAGCAAAAGUGAGACACAAUCACAUGUGUGAGAUCCCUUGAGAUUUUGGGCCCCGCACGCGCUACACAGAGUAAUCUCCAGAGUCUGCGUCUCAAGAGAGGCGGGGCGUCCGUCGGGGUCAAACCCGAUGGUCGCGUCGCUGUCCUCGAUCGCGCCUGGGCCGAUAGGUCCGGGUAAUCUUUGCAAAUUUAAUCGUGCUGGGGAUAGAUCAUUGUAAUUAUUGAUCUUCAACGAGGAAUUCCUAGUAAGCGCGAGUCAUCAGCUCGCGUUGAUUACGUCCCUGCCCUUUGUACACACCGCCCGUCGCUCCUACCGAUUGAAUGGUCCGGUGAAAUCCUCGGAGCCGUGGCCUCUACGCAAUCCGGGCAACCGGGUUGUGAGGUCUCCCCUUUGGCGG
Molecule: ribosomal RNA, 2145 nt
Filed under: Acanthamoeba sp.
Lineage: Eukaryota; Discosea; Longamoebia; Acanthamoebidae
Description: SSU rRNA
Rfam family: Eukaryotic small subunit ribosomal RNA
Source: RNAcentral